UAACACAUGCAAGUCGAACGGAAAGGCCCUGCUUUUGUGGGGUGCUCGAGUGGCGAACGGGUGAGUAACACGUGAGUAACCUGCCCUUGACUUUGGGAUAACUUCAGGAAACUGGGGCUAAUACCGGAUAGGAGCUCCUGCUGCAUGGUGGGGGUUGGAAAGUUUCGGCGGUUGGGGAUGGACUCGCGGCUUAUCAGCUUGUUGGUGGGGUAGUGGCUUACCAAGGCUUUGACGGGUAGCCGGCCUGAGAGGGUGACCGGCCACAUUGGGACUGAGAUACGGCCCAGACUCCUACGGGAGGCAGCAGUGGGGAAUAUUGCACAAUGGGCGGAAGCCUGAUGCAGCAACGCCGCGUGCGGGAUGACGGCCUUCGGGUUGUAAACCGCUUUCGCCUGUGACGAAGCGUGAGUGACGGUAAUGGGUAAAGAAGCACCGGCUAACUACGUGCCAGCAGCCGCGGUGAUACGUAGGGUGCGAGCGUUGUCCGGAUUUAUUGGGCGUAAAGGGCUCGUAGGUGGUUGAUCGCGUCGGAAGUGUAAUCUUGGGGCUUAACCCUGAGCGUGCUUUCGAUACGGGUUGACUUGAGGAAGGUAGGGGAGAAUGGAAUUCCUGGUGGAGCGGUGGAAUGCGCAGAUAUCAGGAGGAACACCAGUGGCGAAGGCGGUUCUCUGGGCCUUUCCUGACGCUGAGGAGCGAAAGCGUGGGGAGCGAACAGGCUUAGAUACCCUGGUAGUCCACGCUGUAAACGGUGGGUACUAGGUGUGGGGUCCAUUCCACGGGUUCCGUGCCGUAGCUAACGCUUUAAGUACCCCGCCUGGGGAGUACGGCCGCAAGGCUAAAACUCAAAGGAAUUGACGGGGCCCCGCACAAGCGGCGGAGCAUGCGGAUUAAUUCGAUGCAACGCGUAGAACCUUACCUGGGUUUGACAUGGAUCGGGAGUGCUCAGAGAUGGGUGUGCCUCUUUUGGGGUCGGUUCACAGGUGGUGCAUGGCUGUCGUCAGCUCGUGUCGUGAGAUGUUGGGUUAAGUCCCGCAACGAGCGCAACCCUUGUUCACUGUUGCCAGCACGUUAUGGUGGGGACUCAGUGGAGACCGCCGGGGUCAACUCGGAGGAAGGUGGGGAUGACGUCAAGUCAUCAUGCCCCUUAUGUCCAGGGCUUCACGCAUGCUACAAUGGCUGGUACAGAGAGUGGCGAGCCUGUGAGGGUGAGCGAAUCUCGGAAAGCCGGUCUCAGUUCGGAUUGGGGUCUGCAACUCGACCUCAUGAAGUCGGAGUCGCUAGUAAUCGCAGAUCAGCAACGCUGCGGUGAAUACGUUCCCGGGGCUUGUACACACCGCCCGUCAAGUCAUGAAAGUUGGUAACACCCGAAGCCGGUGGCCUAACCGUUGUGGGGGAGCCGUCGAAGGUGGGACUGGUGAUUAGGACUAAAU
This 1430-nucleotide ribosomal RNA is filed under the name uncultured organism. Its description in RNAcentral is "partial small subunit ribosomal RNA". It matches the Rfam family "Bacterial small subunit ribosomal RNA". The record is from RNAcentral.